GAUGAACGCUGGCGGCGUGCCUAAUACAUGCAAGUCGAGCGAACAGAUGAGGAGCUUGCUCCUCUGACGUUAGCGGCGGACGGGUGAGUAACACGUGGAUAACCUACCUAUAAGACUGGGAUAACUUCGGGAAACCGGAGCUAAUACCGGAUAAUAUAUUGCACCGCAUGGUUCAAUAGUGAAAGACGGUUUUGCUGUCACUUAUAGAUGGAUCCGCGCCGCAUUAGCUAGUUGGUAAGGUAACGGCUUACCAAGGCAACGAUGCGUAGCCGACCUGAGAGGGUGAUCGGCCACACUGGAGCUGAGACGCGGUCCAGACUCCUACGGGAGGCAGCAGUAGGGAAUCUUCCGCAGUGGGCGAAAGCCUGACGGAGCAACGCCGCGUGAGUGAUGAAGGUCUUCGGAUCGUAAAACUCUGUUAUUAGGGAAGAACAAAUGUGUAAGUAACUGUGCACGUCUUGACGGUAACUAAUCAGAAAGCCACGGCUAACUACGUG
Molecule: ribosomal RNA, 497 nt
Filed under: uncultured bacterium
Lineage: Bacteria
Description: partial 16S ribosomal RNA
Rfam family: Bacterial small subunit ribosomal RNA
Source: RNAcentral